GGGGGGGGGGGGGGGGGUGCCUGGGGGGGGGGGGGCGGGGGGGGCGUUCGGGUCUGGUGGGGCGGUGGUGCGUAACGCGGGGGACCCUCGCGUUCGAUUGGGGAGGAGGCCCCGGGAGUCGUGGUAAUCCCGGCUCAUGUCUCCGUGCCCCGGGUUUAUGUCCUGUGUCUGGGCCCGCGUUGGCUUAGCUCGUUGGUCGGGGAAAAGCCUACCAAGGCGACGCUCCCUAGUUGGUCUGAGAGGAUGAUCAGCCAAACUGGGACUGAGACACAGCCCAGACUCCUACGGGAGGCAGCAGUGGGGAAUAUUGGACAAUGGGCGAAAGCCUGAUCCAGCAAUGCCGCGUGAGUGAGGAAGGCCUUAGGGUUGUAAAGCUCUUUUACCCGGGAUGAUAAUGACAGUACCGGGAGAAUAAGCUCCGGCUAACUCCGUG
RNAcentral lists this ribosomal RNA (433 nucleotides) under uncultured bacterium. RNAcentral describes it as "partial 16S ribosomal RNA". The stretch from base 61 to 433 matches the Rfam family "Bacterial small subunit ribosomal RNA", at positions 38 to 507 of the family's 1533-position model. The record is from RNAcentral.